GAUGAACGCUGGCGGCGUGCCUAAUACAUGCAAGUCGAACGCUUUGUGGUUCAACUGAUUUGAAGAGCUUGCUCAGAUAUGACGAUGAACAUUGCAAAGAGUGGCGAACGGGUGAGUAACACGUGGGAAACCUACCUCUUAGCAGGGGAUAACAUCUGGAAACAGAUGCUAAUACCGUAUAACAAUGACAACCGCAUGGUUGUUAUUUAAAAGAUGGUUCUGCUAUCACUAAGAGAUGGUCCCGCGGUGCAUUAGCUAGUUGGUAAGGUAAUGGCUUACCAAGGCGAUGAUGCAUAGCCGAGUUGAGAGACUGAUCGGCCACAAUGGGACUGAGACACGGCCCAUACUCCUACGGGAGGCAGCAGUAGGGAAUCUUCCACAAUGGGCGAAAGCCUGAUGGAGCAACGCCGCGUGUGUGAUGAAGGGUUUCGGCUCGUAAAACACUGUUGUAAGAGAAGAAUGACAUUGAGAGUAACUGUUCAAUGUGUGACGGUAUCUUACCAGAAAGGAACGGCUAAAUACGUGCCAGCAGCCGCGGUAAUACGUAUGUUCCAAGCGUUAUCCGGAUUUAUUGGGCGUAAAGCGAGCGCAGACGGUUAUUUAAGUCUGAAGUGAAAGCCCUCAGCUCAACUGAGGAAUUGCUUUGGAAACUGGAUGACUUGAGUGCAGUAGAGGAAAGUGGAACUUCCAUGUGUAGCGGUGAAAUGCGUAGAUAUAUGGAAGAACACCAGUGGCGAAGGCGGCUUUCUGGACUGUAACUGACGUUGAGGCUCGAAAGUGUGGGUAGCAAACAGGAUUAGAUACCCUGGUAGUCCACACCGUAAACGAUGAGUGCUAGGUGUUUGAGGGUUUCCGCCCUUAAGUGCCGCAGCUAACGCAUUAAGCACUCCGCCUGGGGAGUACGACCGCAAGGUUGAAACUCAAAGGAAUUGACGGGGACCCGCACAAGCGGUGGAGCAUGUGGUUUAAUUCGAAGCAACGCGAAGAACCUUACCAGGUCUUGACAUCCCUUGACAACUCCAGAGAUGGAGCGUUCCCUUCGGGGACAAGGUGACAGGUGGUGCAUGGUUGUCGUCAGCUCGUGUCGUGAGAUGUUGGGUUAAGUCCCGCAACGAGCGCAACCCUUAUUACUAGUUGCCAGCAUUCAGUUGGGCACUCUAGUGAGACUGCCGGUGACAAACCGGAGGAAGGUGGGGAUGACGUCAAAUCAUCAUGCCCCUUAUGACCUGGGCUACACACGUGCUACAAUGGCGUAUACAACGAGUUGCCAACCCGCGAGGGUGAGCUAAUCUCUUAAAGUACGUCUCAGUUCGGAUUGUAGGCUGCAACUCGCCUACAUGAAGUCGGAAUCGCUAGUAAUCGCGGAUCAGCACGCCGCGGUGAAUACGUUCCCGGGUCUUGUACACACCGCCCGUCACACCAUGAGAGUUUGUAACACCCAAAGCCGGUGGGGUAACCUUCGGGAGCCAGCCGUCUAAGGUGGGACAGAUGAUUAGGGUG
Molecule: ribosomal RNA, 1500 nt
Filed under: Weissella confusa
Lineage: Bacteria; Bacillati; Bacillota; Bacilli; Lactobacillales; Lactobacillaceae
Description: bacterial SSU rRNA
Rfam family: Bacterial small subunit ribosomal RNA
Source: RNAcentral